RNAcentral lists this long non-coding RNA (901 nucleotides) under Ananas comosus (pineapple). Its description in RNAcentral is "long non-coding RNA (ACOM_LNC036600)". The record is from RNAcentral. Lineage: Eukaryota; Viridiplantae; Streptophyta; Magnoliopsida; Poales; Bromeliaceae.
UUUAUAUAUUAGAGUAGGGCUACUAUACUCUUAAGAGUAUUGGACUUUUCGUACUCAUAAGUUGUUUUCGAUGAUGGAGCUUCCGAAUCGACGAUCCACUCCGUUAAAUAUGAUAUAGAGUAUUUGAAACUUUUAGAAAAUAAAUUUUGUAAUUUUUCGAAAUCAUAAUAAAGGCCAUCAAGCGGGCAUAAAAUGAACGGUCAAAAUCGAACGACGUACUAAAAAUGAAUGAUCUGAUUCUUCAAGUUAAGAUCGGAGUUAUUGAUUUUUAUCUAGACAGUGAAUAGAAUUUUCUAUCAAAAAUUCAGCCUAUUCCGAUUUUUUUGUACCGUUAAACUAGUAAGUAUUCUAUACCGGCCGUAAAAAUUGUCAAUUUUGUGACCUUUUGAUCGUAAGGUAAAUGAUAUCAAAAAAUUAUAAAAUUUGAUUUAUAGAAGUUUUAAAUGCUCUAGAAAAUGUUUAACGGUAUGGUUCGUCGAUUCGGAAGCUUUAUCAUCGAAAACAACUUAUGAGUACGAACGCGAUCGUACUUACAAGAGUAUAGUAGCCGGAUUCUAUAUAUAUAUAUAUAUAUAUAGGCCAUGGCUACUAUACUAUUAUGAGUAUUGGAGCCCUUGUACUCAUAAGUUGUUUUCUAUGAUGGAGCUUCGGAGUUGACGAUCCAUUCCGUUAAAUAUGAUCUAGAGUAUUUGAAAUUUUAGAAAAUAAAUUUCGUAAAUUUUCAAAAUUAUAGUAAAGUCCAUCAAGUGGGCAUAAAAUGAAAGGUCAAAAUCGAACGACGUCCUAAAAAAGAAUAAUCGGAUCUUUCAAUUCAAGAUCAGAGUUAUCGAUCUUUAUCUAUAUAGUGAAUAGAAUUUUCUAUCAAAAAUUUAACAAAUUCUAAUUAUUUUACACCGUUAAA